Non-coding RNA from Microcebus murinus (gray mouse lemur), 5040 nucleotides. The record is from RefSeq and is a predicted model, not a curated record. NCBI's taxonomy places the organism in Eukaryota, Metazoa, Chordata, Mammalia, Primates, Cheirogaleidae.
UACUCUGGAGUCAGAAGUGAAGUGAAUUUUGAUUUUCUACCAAGAGUGGUACAGCUAUUUAUAAAAUGGCCUACUACAUUUUUUUUUUUUUUUUUUGCUUUGGCAGAGAUAAAGAAUUAAACUAUGUACACUUUUAAAUUUGGAUUUAAAUUAAGCACUCUGUAAUAAAUAGGUAACUUUUGAGUUUUGCCUUGAUCAUUAAUAUUGUAGUUUUAGAAAUAACACUUUUAGUGCUAUUUUUCCACUUUUAUUUCUUUUUAUUUUCUCUAGUUUGAGAAUAACCUAGCAAGCUUCUUGGGUCUCUGUGAAUGCACAACAUUUACUAAUGCUUACUAUAUUUUUCUGCAUAUCUUAAUUAUAUCUUUCUAUGUUUGAGUUCCUCAACACUUUCCACAGUUUGUCAUUCAUUAAUUUAUUCAUUAAAUCAAUGUGUUUAUUGAAUGUUGAUUGAUCCAGACAUGGUCCUAUAUGUUAAAGCUACAAUAAGGAAAAAAAAUGGACAAAAGGCCGUGCAGUCAAGGAGUGCAUAUUCUAGUAGAAUGAAAAAGACAAUAAACAAAAAUGUACCAGAAAAUUACAUAGCUACAAACGCUAUGGAAGCAAGGAAGAGAAGAGGGAUUGUCAAGGUCAGGGGCAGGGGUGAAAUAUUAAGUUGGUUGGCAGGGAAACAUUCAUUGAAAAGGUAACGUUCUAGCAAACACAUGAAGAAGAUGAGAGAGUGAGCCAUGCUCGUCUCUGGGAAAAGUGCAUUCCGGGAAGAGGAAACUACAAGUGCAAAGGUCUUGAGGCUGAAAUGUGCUUGGUUCAUUUGAAGGGAGCAGAGCAGUCCACGUGGCUGGAAGAGAGUGAGUUAGAGAUGAGAAAGAGGCAAGAGAGUCAGGGAGGUGAGAGGUGAGAGGGUGGUGUCAGAGGUUACAAGGCUGUUGGAAAGAUGUUGGCUUUCACUCUGAGUGAGAUGGGGAACCAUUCCAGAGUUUUCAAGAGAAGCUUGACAGGAUCUGACUUGUGUUUUAAAAUGGUCAUUUUUGGACACUACCAACAGAAUCGUCUAGCAGGGCCAGGGGAGAAACAGGGAGACCAGAUAGGAAUCUGCAGAUGGGGUCUGGGCCAGGGUGCUCACAUGGAGAAGUGGUCAGAUCUAUUGAUGGACCGGAUUUAAGAUAGAGAGCAGAGCCCAGCAUGGUAGAUGGUUUUAAAUAUUUUAGUUUCCCUCCACGUAGAGUCCCUUCCUGUGAGAGGACAAUACACCUCUGCCCUAUUGAAAAUGGGAGGCCACGCGACUUGCUUAAGCAAUAAAAUGUGGUCAGAAGCUUUAAGAGGCAGCACUUGGUUUGUGUGUCCUUUUUCCUUCUGCCACAAAGCUAGAGAUAUUACAGAUACAGGAUGCUCUGUCGGCCUUGUUCCUGGAGUAAAACUGAUGUGGGUGACAUGCAGAGGAUAUGUAGGGGGAAAGAAACUUUGUUAUGGGAAGUUGGUAGGAUGUUCAGGUUGUUUAUUACUGCAGCAGAACCCAGCUUAGCCUAACUAAUACAGGUGUGGUUGGCAUUACCCGAGAUGGAGAUGUCUGCUAGAAGAGCAGGCUUGGAUGUGUAUGGAGAGUCCGGGAGUUCAGCUUAGAAACAUGAGACUUGAGAGUCUAUUAGACAUCCAAGUGCAGCUGUCAAGUAGCUAGGUGGAUAUAAAGGGCUGGAGUUGGAAGAAAAGAUCUAGGGUAAAGAUAUACACUUGGGAGUCAUCACUCUGAGAUUGAACAAAACUACUAAGGGAGUGAGUAGAUGUAUCCCAAGCCUAGGAACUGAGCUCUGGAGUAUUCCAGCAAGUAACAGAUGAGACUGGGAAGGAGCAGGCAGUGAGUCAGGAGGGAGACUAGGAGAGUGUGCUGUCCUGGAAGCUGAGGGAACAAAGUAUCUCAGGGAUGAGCAUCUGUGUCAUGUGCUACUGAUAAAUCAAGUGAGGUCAGGACUGAGAACUGACCUUGGGAUGUAGCAGUGCUGAAGUCCUGAUGACCUUGACAAGAGCAGGUUAGGUGGAGUGGUCUGUAGGAAAGCCUAGAAGAAACGGUUUCAAGAGAGAAUGGUAGGAUAAGAGUGAGAAAAGUGUAGAUAACUCUUUCAAGGAGUGUUCCUGUAAUGGAGAGCAGAGAAGUGAUAGCUGAGCAGGGAAAUGGGGUUGAAAAGUUGUGGGAUUUUUUUGUUUUGUUUUUUGGUGGAUGGGUAAUAUGGGCGAAAUGAAAGUUUGCUAAUGGAAUGAUCAAAGAUGGAGGAAAACAACUGAUGAGGCAGAACAGAGAGGGGAGAACUGCUGGAGAGAUGUUGUUUAAUAGGCCAGCAGAGAUAGGAUGUGGUACCCAAAUGGAGAUGUUGGUCUUUGACAGGACCACAUGCAGUUCAUUUACAGGAAAAGCAUACGGGGAAAUAGCAUUAAUAUGCGGAUAUAGAUGCAGGUACACAAGGGUAGGGUGAGAACUUGUGGAACUUCUGAUUGCUUUUUUGUUGUUGUUGUUUUGUUUUUUUUCCCCAUUAAAACUGAGGUCAUCCACUGAGAGUGAGGAUGGGGAAAGAGGUGCUGGAGAUUUGACAUAGUUGUGUAUUUUUCACCAUCCAUGUUCAACUGGAUAUGAGAUAGGGGUGGAGUGAUGGAAAGAUGCAUUUAGGCAUGGUUAGAGAUUUUCCUAGCAAAUCCAACAAGGCAAAGGUGGAUGGAGUGUUUGAGAGUAUAUUCAGAGGAGUAAUUACAAUGUCCAGACAUGGAUUGUUUUUUAGCUGGGUAAAGAGAGAUGUGAGGACCUGAGGACACCGAGAAGCAGUGGAAAGGUGGUACUGUGAUUGGAUUGGGGAUGUCAGUAGUAGAAGGAAUAAACUGCAAAACCAGAAGCUGUUAACCAGAGAAUGGGCUGCUUUAAAUUGAGAUUCUAGAAAGGCUGCAAUAAUCGGCAAUGGCCAGGUCUAGGGUGUACCUAUGGAAAUGAGAGGGCUGUAGGACAGGAGCUUGGAAGUUUUUGACUCUGAAGUUGCUCUAGUUAACUCAAAUUCUUUUCUUAAGCAUUUCUUCUUAUUGAAACUCCUCAAUUAAACUCACAUAUAGUGGCUUUCAAAUUAUCAUAGCAGAUCUCACAAUUUAGUUAGAUUAAUGAUUGAAGCAUAAUGAGGAAUCACCUUGGCUUACAUUAGAUUUAUAUAAAAUGAAAAUUUACAAAGUCAUAUUGAAAAAGGAAGGAGUUUGUUGGGCAUUACUUCAAUAAUUAGGAUGUGUUCAUAUCAAAGAUGACCUAGUCAUUGCUUAAAAUCCCUGAAUAUAUUAGAUGAUUAAAAAUUGGUUAUUUGUUCAAUAUUUGGACUAAUACUCUCUUUAUAAAUUAUUACCUUGGAAAUCACCACCUCACCAUUGUCUAUUGAAUUAUUGAUAUUCUUAAGAUAUUGGUUAAUAUUGUUGUAGUCACUAAUGUUGUUAUUGUGCUGUGGAAAUCAGAGAGAUACUUAAUUAUCAAAAAAUGUGAAUGUGUUGUUUAUCUCAAACAUUGGAGAAAGUCCUGUUUUAUACUUGACAAAUCAUAGAAAUAUAAGUUAACUUUGAAACAUCAGGGCUGCAAGUCAAUUUGGAAUGCUUAGAAAAAGCUUGUCAUAAUCAUUGAAUUUAUCUGAAAAAAUGAUCACAAAUAAAGUGUGAGAUUAAAAAUAAGCCUUGUGCUAAGCAGAAAAUAUGGUUAACAAUCCUAACCUAACUGAUUUUAUGUCAAUCUUUUAAAUUGACAUUUAAUUCAUAUAAAUCUCAUACAAUCCCAAAUUUUGGAUUAGUUUUUAUCAAAUGAUUUUCAAUUAAUGCAAAUCCAUAUAUAUUUAUAAUUUAUAGUUUAUGUCAUAUAAAUUUGAUUUUAUGCACCGAUUUUGAGGUUACUGUAGGUCCCUGUGGCAGAAAAUAUUAUUUAUCUCCCACUUACCCGUCUCCCCUUCUUUAACACAGAUGCUUGAUUUUGUCUUACCACUUUACAGCUUAAAUAUUACACUUUUCAAGCUCAAUUGCAGCCAGGUGAGUCAUGUGACUGGGUUGGGAAAUUGUAGGUUGGGAAAUUGUAGGUUCUUCCUAGAAGUUUUCUUUAAAGGGAAUGUGCAUGCUCUUUCUUUGUCCCUCUUUAUAAUGUCCUAGAACUCAUGUGUGAUGUCUAGAGCUCUAGCAGCCACAUAAGAUGAUAAGAUGAAGGCCACUGCCAGCUCUAGCAUUGGCAAAGAAGAACUGGAAGGUGCCUGGGUCGCUGAAGAGGCUUCUGCCAACUGGAUACAGAUGAGGAUGCAGCCUUAGAGGACAGCAGACCCACACAGUGGACUGGGGAGAGAGGCCCACCAGUGGAAAGAACUGAGCAGCACACGAAGAGUCAGAGAACAGCCUUUAUUCUUCGACAGCAGGCUCGGCACACCUAGUAUUACAGCACUCUUGGCAUCUUCUGAUCUUCUCCUGCUUCCACCCCUUCUGCUCCUGCUUUUAUACCCUUGAUUGGGAUCCAUACGAUGAGGGGAAAACAUAGGACGCCGUGAGAGACCUGACUGAAGCUGAAGAAGUUCUGCGAUGUGAGCGAUGACUGGGAAUCCACCAGGAACAGAGCGAGCCAGGACAGCAUGUGCGCCGGUCCCGGAUGAGACGAAGCACAGCACGUGUGAGCACCUGAAGCAAGACAGUGAUAUCUCCAUUACCUACUGAAGAAAAACCCUGCAAUGACUGAGUCACCACACCAUGGCUAGCUGACACGUGUUUUCUCCAGUUAUAAGGUUGUGGCCAUACAAUGCUUGGGACAGCUUGGUUACACACAAAAAAAGAUAACAAAUUCAAUGAAGAAACUCAGAAAUGGAAAAACUGACAAAUAGAAUAAACAAGUUUAUCAUAUUUCCAAAGGGAAAAUAUGAAGGGUUUGCCAAGGGGAUUAUAAGAUUUGUUAGUUUCCGGCUCUGUGAAUAUGUAAAAUUGCUCCUAGGAAUUUUGGCCGUUUUCUCGUAGAAUACUGCUAAGUUACGGAGGUAUUGGACAAGUAAACAACAUAUUUACGAACAA